Molecule: unclassified non-coding RNA, 324 nt
Filed under: soil metagenome
Description: partial contains 5.8S ribosomal RNA, internal transcribed spacer 2, and large subunit ribosomal RNA
Rfam family: 5.8S ribosomal RNA (bases 1-120)
Source: RNAcentral
GAUGAAGAACGUAGCGAAAUGCGAUAAGUAAUGCGAAUUGCAGAAUUCAGUGAGUUAUCGAAUCUUUGAACGCACAUUGCGCCCUGUGGUAUUCCGCAGGGCAUGCCUGUUCGAGCGUCAUUUCAACCCUCAAGCCUCGCUUGGUGUUGGGCCCUGCCCGCCGCGGCCGGCCCUAAAGAUAGUGGCGGCGCCGCCUGGCCCUCAGCGUAGUACAGCUCUCGCUCCAGGGUCCGGCGGCAGCCUGCCAGAACCCCCCAACUCUGUGGUUGACCUCGGAUCAGGUAGGGAUACCCGCUGAACUUAAGCAUAUCAAUAAGCGGAGGA